AUGGAGGCCUCCAUGCUCAAGCCGUCGGUGUUGCUAUCUCCGGCGCGGGGGCGGGGCUGCGUCGUCGCCGGCGCCGGCGGCCGCGGCAGCAAGAACCUCGAGACACGGCGGCCGGAAGGGAGCGAGCCGGCCAGAGGAGCCCACGGCCAUGUCCUACCCCUGGCGGCAGCGGCGGUGAGCAGCAGCGCCGCCGCCCUGCCGUGCCACGCCGCGACCUCUCCGGCGGCGUACGAGCAAUCGCUGUACAGGGCGGCGGUGGUGCUGGGGGAGCUGGACCCGGCGACGGCGAAGGUGGUGAUCGGGGUGGCGGGGCCGGCGCUGUCGGCGGUGGGGUUCCUGUUCGUGGCGCGGAUCGUCAUGUCGUGGUACCCGAGGCUGCCGGUCACCAAGUUCCCCUACGUGGUGGCCUACGCGCCCACGGAGCCCAUCCUCGCCGCCACCCGCCGGGUCAUCCCGCCGCUGGGCGGCGUCGACGUCACGCCGGUGGUCUGGUUCGGCCUCGUCAGCUUCCUCAGCGAGAUCCUCGUCGGGCCCCAGGGCCUCCUCGUCCUCCUCUCCCAGCAAGUCUCUCCCUCGUAG
This 579-nucleotide ribosomal RNA is filed under the name Triticum aestivum (bread wheat). Its description in RNAcentral is "partial small subunit ribosomal RNA". Lineage: Eukaryota; Viridiplantae; Streptophyta; Magnoliopsida; Poales; Poaceae. The record is from RNAcentral.